RNAcentral lists this long non-coding RNA (966 nucleotides) under Olea europaea subsp. europaea. Lineage: Eukaryota; Viridiplantae; Streptophyta; Magnoliopsida; Lamiales; Oleaceae. The record is from RNAcentral.
UUUACAAAAUAUAGAAUGCAUCUUAUCAUAUAUAAGAUGUGAAUUAUGAAUGUAACUUCAUAAGAUUAAGGACAAAUGGAAAAGGAUCACGUGAUAUAAUAUCCCUAAAAAUUUCCAUUAAACCUCAAUUCAACUGGCAAUAAAAAAUGCAUUCCAUGAUUACCCGCAAAAAGUAAAUUCAAGAUAAUUUAGAACAAAAACGAAGAAAACAACACAAUAUGCCAAAAACCAACGAAUUCUACUUCGUCUUUAUCCAUUUGAAACAACGAAUUAACUAAAAGAUUGAAAAUAUUAAUAACUAAAAACAAAAAUAAAAAUGAUUAAAAUUUACCAACCUCAACAAUUCGCCUGCUGUGAUCAAACAAAACAAUUGAAUUUCCUAUGUCUCCCUUCUCCAAAACAUUACAAUCCUUAGGCGUCUCGAAAAACGACAAAGAGAAUUGCUUAAACACUACACCGACAUCAAAAUAAAUCAAACCAGAACUCGGUAUUUCCACUCGUAUGCUCUUAACAGGCAGCCAAAGAAACAAUUCCUGUGCCGCUAAACCCGACAAAUUAGCAAUCUGCCCAUACGCAAUUGUUCCUUUAAUUUCACAUUCAUACCGAACCGUGGUCUCGAAUUUCGUGUCGCACGGGACAGGGGACAACAAAUUGAGCUGAAAAUUGCCGGAGGCGGGGUCGAGGGUGAAAUUGGAAACGCCCUUAGGGAAAAUGCCAAUUGGGAGUCCAUGGGAUUCCAGCACGUCGUAUAUUGAAGAUGAUGGGGAGGAUUGAGAAUCUGAUUCUGUGGGUUUUGCGGAUGAUAAUGAGAACAAGAAGAAGAUUAAUGAUAUAAACAAUUUUCUCGCCAUUUCUGUAUUGCAGACGGGAUAAAUUUUGGAAAGAUGACAAUUUGAGAAGUUAGGGUUUAGAGAGAGGUGAGGGGAAGAUGGACAAAGUGGAGGAAUAUUUUAUCUUCGAUCCUUG